AUUUUUAAUGGGAUGUUUUCAGAAGGAAAUGCCACGUGGCACCUGCAUGUGCUGAACCAUGAGAGGCCUGAUGGGCUGUCCUUAUGUCACCAGGCCAAAAAGGGAAGAAAUCUGGAGACAGAGGUUUUGGAGUAACCCUGACCCAAGGAGAUGCAGGGAUCUUGCCCAUGUCCGCUCUCACACCUAGCCAAGAAGGGGAUUCUCCAGCUGCAUACAGGAGAAAGGAUCUUGUGCCUUACCACCAGAAGAGACCAAGUCCUGGGAAGCCAUGAGUCAGCUGAGGAUGUGAUGCCAGAGUGGAUCUGCAGCUGAAGAGCUCGUGGGACCAGGAUGUGGUCUGUGAAUGCUGUAUAUCCUUAAAUGCAUGCAAUUUCUGCUUUAUUUGCUUUUCAUGGGGCUCCUAGGAGUACAUUUUUCCCCUGAAGAGGAACUGGUGGCAUCAGGCACGUGGCAUUUCCACCACUUGGGGUGAUCACAGAGAGGGAACAGCAAAGCCUGGAGAGGUGUUUUAUACAAGAAUGCCCUCUUUAACGGGGACACUGCUGUCUGUCAAAGGUUGAACUGAUCUUUUCAGCAGUAGAUUUUCUGUCUUCUUCCUACCUGUCUAACUUUCAUGGUUUUUGAAGGAGUUAAGCAUUAUUUUUUUUUUUUUUGGGUGUCUUUCAUAUUGUGCAAGCUUUAGACACUGCACUGGGAAAGUUUUAAGGGAAGAAAACCAGCAGUAGCUGUUGACAGACACACAGACAUUUUCUUGGGCAAGCAGGGUAAAAAGCUGUCUGUGUGUAUUAUAGCGCUAUAUUCUUGAUGUACACAGUAAAAUAUGAGGAGGUUUUUUGGUCUGAUUGAUUUUUCAGCCAUGUUAAUGAGAUCUAGGCAUUAGUAUGUGAAGCAAUUAUAAGUAAUUAAGGUUAUUAUAAACCAUGUAAUUUGACGAA
Molecule: long non-coding RNA, 935 nt
Filed under: Coturnix japonica (Japanese quail)
Lineage: Eukaryota; Metazoa; Chordata; Aves; Galliformes; Phasianidae
Description: lncRNA (ENSCJPG00005004181.1)
Source: RNAcentral